RNAcentral lists this long non-coding RNA (429 nucleotides) under Rattus norvegicus (Norway rat). RNAcentral's name for it is "long non-coding RNA NONRATT010938". The record is from RNAcentral. Lineage: Eukaryota; Metazoa; Chordata; Mammalia; Rodentia; Muridae.
CCUGGGUGCUAGCCUGUCACAUAGCUGGGGUGUGAAGGGUUCCAGUUCACCUCACACGGGGACUUGAGACCCAGGAGACUGAUCUAUCAACCCAGGUCAUACUGGUGGCUGUUAUUGAAAGGUGACAUUCCCACUGCCACCCUAAACAGAGCAGCAGGGCAGGGCCACCACCACUAACACUGCUGACUGCCAGAGGAGUAGAAGGGAAAGCCAGAAGUCCUUGAGGAGGGAUUUUGCAGUGGUUCUUGGACUGGACGACGCACUGGAAGUCCUUGGGAACGAGACUCAGAAGGAGCGUGCGCAAUGGACUGGGGGACCCUGCACACUGUCAUCGGCGGCGUGAACAAGCACUCGACCAGCAUAGGGAAGGUAUGGAUCACGGUCAUCUUCAUCUUCCGAGUCAUGAUCCUCGUGGUGGCCGCCCAGGAA